Molecule: ribosomal RNA, 158 nt
Filed under: Mollisia cinerella
Lineage: Eukaryota; Fungi; Ascomycota; Leotiomycetes; Helotiales; Mollisiaceae
Description: 5.8S ribosomal RNA
Rfam family: 5.8S ribosomal RNA
About the family: 5.8S ribosomal RNA (5.8S rRNA) is a component of the large subunit of the eukaryotic ribosome. It is transcribed by RNA polymerase I as part of the 45S precursor that also contains 18S and 28S rRNA.
Source: RNAcentral
AACUUUCAACAACGGAUCUCUUGGUUCUGGCAUCGAUGAAGAACGCAGCGAAAUGCGAUAAGUAAUGUGAAUUGCAGAAUUCAGUGAAUCAUCGAAUCUUUGAACGCAGAUUGCGCCCUGUGGUAUUCCGCAGGGCAUGCCUGUUCGAGCGUCAUUAU